Molecule: non-coding RNA, 205 nt
Organism: Oryza meridionalis
Lineage: Eukaryota; Viridiplantae; Streptophyta; Magnoliopsida; Poales; Poaceae
Source: Rfam
UUUAAGUGCAACCAUAAGUUUCUGCGCCGAACUUUAGUCGUCCGUCUUAUUUGAAAUUUUUUUCGUAAUUAGUAUUUUUGUUGUUAUGAUAUGAUAAAACAUUGAUACUACUUUAUGCGUGACUUAUGUUUUUAAAUUUUUUCAAAAAAUUUUCAAAUAAGAUGGACGAUCAAAAUUGGACACAGAACUCAUAGCUGCCUUUAAA